RNAcentral lists this ribosomal RNA (435 nucleotides) under uncultured bacterium. Its description in RNAcentral is "partial 16S ribosomal RNA". It matches the Rfam family "Bacterial small subunit ribosomal RNA", at positions 28 to 507 of the family's 1533-position model. The record is from RNAcentral.
GAUGAACGCUGGCGGUAUGCUUAACACAUGCAAGUCGAACGGACUCUUCGGAGUUAGUGGCGGACGGGGGAGUAACGCGUGAGAAUCUGGCUUUGGGUUCGGGACAACCACUGGAAACGGUGGCUAAUACCGGAUGUGCCGAGAGGUAAAAGAGAAAUUGCCUGAAGAUGAGCUCGCGUCUGAUUAGCUAGUUGGUGAGGUAAAGGCUCACCAAGGCAGCGAUCAGUAGCUGGUCUGAGAGGAUGACCAGCCACACUGGGACUGAGACACGGCCCAGACUACUACGGGAGGCAGCAGUGGGGAAUUUUCCGCAAUGGGCGAAAGUCUGACGGAGCAAUACCGAGUGAGGAAAGAAGGCUCUUGGGUUGUAAACCUCUUUUCUUAGGGAAGAACAAAAUGACGGUACCUAAGGAAUCAGCAUCGGCUAACUCCGUG